RNAcentral lists this transfer RNA (88 nucleotides) under Clostridia bacterium. Its description in RNAcentral is "tRNA-Leu". It matches the Rfam family "tRNA". From Rfam's summary of the family: Transfer RNA (tRNA) molecules are approximately 80 nucleotides in length. Their secondary structure includes four short double-helical elements and three loops (D, anti-codon, and T loops). Lineage: Bacteria; Bacillati; Bacillota; Clostridia. The record is from RNAcentral.
GCCGGUGUGGCGGAACAGGUAGACGCCCGAGACUUAAAAUCUCGUGGGAGUUUCUCCCGUACCGGUUCGAUCCCGGUCACCGGCACCA